GAUGAACGCUAGCUACAGGCUUAACACAUGCAAGUCGAGGGGCAGCGGGAUUGAAGCUUGCUUCAAUUGCCGGCGACCGGCGCACGGGUGAGUAACGCGUAUCCAACCUUCCGUACACUCAGGGAUAGCCUUUCGAAAGAAAGAUUAAUACCUGAUGGUAUGAUGAGAUUGCAUGAUAUCAUCAUUAAAGAUUUAUCGGUGUACGAUGGGGAUGCGUUCCAUUAGGUAGUAGGCGGGGUAACGGCCCACCUAGCCAACGAUGGAUAGGGGUUCUGAGAGGAAGGUCCCCCACAUUGGAACUGAGACACGGUCCAAACUACUACGGGAGGCAGCAGUGAGGAAGAUUGGUAAAUGGACGAGAGUCUGAACCAGCCAAGUAGCGUGAAGGAUGAAGGUCCUACGGAUUGUAAACUUCUUUUAUAAGGGAAUAAACCCUCCCACGUGUGGGAGCUUGUAUGUACCUUAUGAAUAAGCAUCGGCUAACGCCGUG
This 490-nucleotide ribosomal RNA is filed under the name uncultured bacterium. RNAcentral's name for it is "partial 16S ribosomal RNA". It matches the Rfam family "Bacterial small subunit ribosomal RNA", at positions 28 to 507 of the family's 1533-position model. The record is from RNAcentral.